GGGGUUCUGGCUCAGUAGGAGAGCCUCUGCUUUGCAUGCAGAAGGUCAAAGGGUUCUGUCCCUGGUAUCUCCA
This 73-nucleotide transfer RNA is filed under the name Sphaerodactylus townsendi. RNAcentral's name for it is "tRNA-Ala". It matches the Rfam family "tRNA". Rfam says of the family: Transfer RNA (tRNA) molecules are approximately 80 nucleotides in length. Their secondary structure includes four short double-helical elements and three loops (D, anti-codon, and T loops). The record is from RNAcentral. Lineage: Eukaryota; Metazoa; Chordata; Lepidosauria; Squamata; Sphaerodactylidae.